RNAcentral lists this transfer RNA (87 nucleotides) under Cryptococcus amylolentus CBS 6039. Its description in RNAcentral is "tRNA-Asp". It matches the Rfam family "tRNA". Rfam says of the family: Transfer RNA (tRNA) molecules are approximately 80 nucleotides in length. Their secondary structure includes four short double-helical elements and three loops (D, anti-codon, and T loops). Lineage: Eukaryota; Fungi; Basidiomycota; Tremellomycetes; Tremellales; Cryptococcaceae. The record is from RNAcentral. RNAcentral also lists the same sequence under 1 other name.
UUCUUGAUCGUAUAACGGUUUAGUAUGCUCGCUUGUCAUUAGUAAUAGUGAUCGCGGGAGAUCGGGGUUCGAUUCCCCGUCAGGAAG